CCCUACGGGAGGCAGCAGUGGGGAAUUUUGGACAAUGGGCGCAAGCCUGAUCCAGCCAUUCCGCGUGAGUGAAGAAGGCCUUCGGGUUGUAAAGCUCUUUCGCAAGGGAAGAAAACUUAACCUCUAACAUAGGUUGAGGCUGACGGUACCUUGAUAAGAAGCACCGGCUAACUACGUGCCAGCAGCCGCGGUAAUACGUAGGGUGCGAGCGUUAAUCGGAAUUACUGGGCGUAAAGCGUGCGCAGGCGGCUUUGUAAGUCAGAUGUGAAAUCCCCGAGCUCAACUUGGGAACUGCGUUUGAAACUACAAGGCUAGAAUAUGUCAGAGGGGGGUAGAAUUCCACGUGUAGCAGUGAAAUGCGUAGAGAUGUGGAGGAAUACCAAUGGCGAAGGCAGCCCCCUGGGAUAAUAUUGACGCUCAUGCACGAAAGCGUGGGGAGCAAACAGGAUUAGAUACCCGAGUAGUCCA
RNAcentral lists this ribosomal RNA (468 nucleotides) under Pseudomonas sp. DCB_PUT. Its description in RNAcentral is "bacterial SSU rRNA". It matches the Rfam family "Bacterial small subunit ribosomal RNA", at positions 337 to 797 of the family's 1533-position model. The record is from RNAcentral. Lineage: Bacteria; Pseudomonadati; Pseudomonadota; Gammaproteobacteria; Pseudomonadales; Pseudomonadaceae.